RNAcentral lists this long non-coding RNA (185 nucleotides) under Cyanistes caeruleus (blue tit). RNAcentral describes it as "lncRNA (ENSCCEG00000020168.1)". The record is from RNAcentral. Lineage: Eukaryota; Metazoa; Chordata; Aves; Passeriformes; Paridae.
GGGAAAGCCAGCAUGAGGCGAAGGGGCCAGUUUGAUCUUCAGAGUUAUCAUUCAAGAGUGUGACACUGAGAUUACACAAUGUCAUGCAGCUGCCUGGACUAGAUGUGGAUCUAUCUCUGCAAAAUCAACACAAAAAUAUCUUUCUGAUGGUGGUUAGAAGUGGCUGGCAUGAAAUGAGACUUUAG